This 728-nucleotide ribosomal RNA is filed under the name uncultured bacterium. RNAcentral's name for it is "bacterial SSU rRNA". It matches the Rfam family "Bacterial small subunit ribosomal RNA", at positions 335 to 1064 of the family's 1533-position model. The record is from RNAcentral.
ACUCCUACGGGUGGCUGCAGUGAGGAAUAUUGGACAAUGGGUGGAAGCCUGAUCCAGCCAUCCCGCGUGCAGGAAGAUGGCCCUAUGGGUUGUAAACUGCUUUUGUAUAGGGAUAAAUCAUCUUACGAGAUAGGAUGUUGAAGGUACUAUACGAAUAAGCAUCGGCUAACUCCGUGCCAGCAGCCGCGGUAAUACGGAGGAUGCGAGCGUUAUCCGGAUUCAUUGGGUUUAAAGGGUCCGUAGGCGGGCUAAUAAGUCAGUGGUGAAAUCUCACAGCUCAACUGUGAAAUUGCCAUUGAUACUGUUAGUCUUGAGUGAGUUUGAUGUUGCUGGAAUGUGUAGUGUAGCGGUGAAAUGCAUAGAUAUUACACGGAACACCGAAUGCGAAGGCAGGUAACAAAGACUUAACUGACGCUGAUGGACGAAGGCGUGGGGAGCGAACAGGAUUAGAUACCCUGGUAGUCCACGCAGUAAACGAUGCUAACUCGUUUUCGGGGUGAAGAACUUCGGAGACCAAGCGAAAGUGAUAAGUUAGCCACCUGGGGAGUACGUUCGCAAGAAUGAAACUCAAAGGAAUUGACGGGGGCCCGCACAAGCGGUGGAGCAUGUGGUUUAAUUCGAUGAUACGCGAGGAACCUUACCAAGGCUUAAAUGCAUUUUGACGUACCCUGAAAGGGGUAUUUCUUCGGACAGGAUGCAAGGUGAUGCAUGGCUGUCGUCAGCUCGUG